AUUGACAAAGGCAAACUUAGCGAAAGCUGAGGACGCAAAGCUACGGGUCUUCCACGUAAGGGUGAUGAUAGCCGAGCUGCCACUC
Molecule: non-coding RNA, 85 nt
Organism: Desulfosporosinus lacus DSM 15449
Lineage: Bacteria; Bacillati; Bacillota; Clostridia; Eubacteriales; Desulfitobacteriaceae
Source: Rfam